GGCCGCGGGUGGCCUCGGGAGGUCCUGAGGCUAAGGGCACAGGAGACAUUUGGAGAGGUAGGGUUGUCUGGGCGAGCAGGAAUGCUUCAUAAACUGCAGCCCAAGGUCUCAGCGACACUGGAUUCUGCCUUUCGGAAUAAGGAUGAUGUCACCCAGACGCCCACAGCUCUGACAUGGAAGUGUGGGCCUUCUGCAGACUCAGACCAUCAGAGUGACACACCAAUCAGGCAGCAGAGGACGCCGUCCUCACCCAGGAUCCCAAGUGUACUUCUCGGCACUGAAUUUGGAAAGCAGCGUUCUUCUCAGAAGAGACUGGAGAUGCAGAAAGACACCAAGCACAGGAGAAAGACAACAUGACCACAGGACACAGGCUGAACUGAAGCACCCGUGAGCUUCAGUGGUAAACACUAGAAGCUAAGAAAGAGACCAAGCAGGAGUGUCCCACAGAACCUUCAUGGACAGCUGGCUCCUCAGGGGCCUUUGUUUCCCCGUCUUGCUUCCAAAACUGAGACGAUCUAUGUUGCUGUCCUCAGCUGCUGACGUGGUCUGUGGCUUUUAUUGGAGAACCCUGGGGCUCAUAUAGAGGAUAGGAGAAGCACCAGCUGCCCUGGGAAAUGGGGUGUGAGCAGCAGGAAGCUGGGAAUGGCCCUCUAAGAACAACAUCUCUAGAAAUGGGGAGUAUAGCAGACCAACAAUGUCACAUGAAACGGAAUCCCUCUUGCCUGGGUGGAUGCGUGUGCAAAUGCAGUCAAAGCACAGUACGGGGGUCACUGUGAAGGUGCCCAUGUCUCACUACAAAACUAUACUCACAUUGAGUUGGCACAGAGAUCAUUAAAAGAGGCCAACAAGCAGUUUAUCAAGUAAGCAAAGGACCAAAAGAUUCCUCCUUCUGAAUCCUCAGAAUCCUAAGCAAAGGUUUGAAGAAAAUUGGAUGCUAGCCCCUCUUGCUCCCUCUCCGUCUUUAUCUACCUGGUCUGACACAUAGUCUCCAUCCAUAGGUUGCAAGCACUUCUCAGGCAGUCCCAUGUCCUGCCAGGGUUGAGAAUCACCAUUAAAGAUCUGAACCUUCCGAGAGAAGGUCAGCCUAGGCACCAUUGUCCAUGAGUGUUCCUUGAUCACGCGCUCAGAGCCUGAGGCUGGUGAUGAUCCGAUGGCCACAGGGAGAAACGGGUAAGAAGAGAGAGAAAUGAUUUACAUGGGAUCAUCCAUCUGAACUCGGCGGAGUGUUGUUGGUCCACUGGCUCUCUAGUCUCCAUGCCAAGAUGAGAUCUGACUCUAUAAAUAUCACAGUG
Mus caroli (Ryukyu mouse) is the source of this 1292-nucleotide long non-coding RNA. RefSeq lists it as uncharacterized. NCBI's taxonomy places the organism in Eukaryota, Metazoa, Chordata, Mammalia, Rodentia, Muridae. The record is from RefSeq and is a predicted model, not a curated record.